GAUCUUUUUUAGCUAAAACAAGUUAGCUAAUAGGAGUAAAAAGCCCCGCGUGACUUUGCGCUCGUGACUCGCGGAGAAAUGACCGUUAGCAUAAGCUAAGCUACAUUGUUCUGUUGUGGGUAAAUUUAAAUAUUACCGUCAAAAGUUACGGUUCCAGAUCCUCUUCAAACCGGGUUACACGACGAGGAGGGAAACGACAACAGCAGCUUAAUUAAUUUAAAAUAUAGAUAUUUUUAUUUUUUAUGUACAGAUAACGACUUGCAAAGGAAUUCAAAAUAAAGGUUUUUAAAAAAACUUUAAUGAUUCUCCGACCCAGAACAGAAGAAUAGGAGCUCCAAAGCAAUAAAGAACUCUCAGAAGUAAGAAAUCAUUUUACUUUGUCCCAGAAAUUUAAGUGUUUAUAUUAAAGUGGCGUAUUAAUGAAAACAAAUAGAAGAAAUAUCAAACAAAACAACAACAAAUAAAGAGAAUGAUCGAACACUAACUUUUUCUGAAUCUGUAUUAACAUUUGCCAUGUGCAUCAUUGAGUAAAUAAAAAAACUAAACAUUUUCUGGUGAUGCGAUGAUUCAGAUCAGGAUUUUAAUUCUACUUGAACAAACAUUCUUUUCAACAGUUUGCUUUAAAAAAAAA
Molecule: long non-coding RNA, 631 nt
Organism: Oryzias melastigma (Indian medaka)
Lineage: Eukaryota; Metazoa; Chordata; Actinopteri; Beloniformes; Adrianichthyidae
Exons: 2
Source: RefSeq, a predicted model, not a curated record